This 681-nucleotide ribosomal RNA is filed under the name Triatoma rubrovaria. RNAcentral describes it as "SSU rRNA". It matches the Rfam family "Eukaryotic small subunit ribosomal RNA", at positions 508 to 1103 of the family's 1831-position model. The record is from RNAcentral. Lineage: Eukaryota; Metazoa; Arthropoda; Insecta; Hemiptera; Reduviidae.
AUCGGAAUGAGUACACUUUAAAUCCUUUAACAAGGAUCCAUUGGAGGGCAAGUCUGGUGCCAGCAGCCGCGGUAAUUCCAGCUCCAAUAGCGUAUAUUAAAGUUGUUGCGGUUAAAAAGCUCGUAGUUGGUUCUGCGUGCCGCGCUGUCGGUUCGCCGCCUGUCGGUGUAACUGGCAUGUCGCGGCAUGUCCUGUCGGUGGUGAACGGAGUCCACGACGCUACAUGGGCUUUAUAGUCGAUGUUAGCAUCGUGUGUACUUCCGUUGGCCGAUCUCUCCUACUUCGGUGCUCUUAAACGAGUGUCGAGGUAGGCCGACACGUUCACUUUGAACAAAUUAGAGUGCUUAAAGCAGGCUGAAAUAUCUGCCUGAAUAGUGGUGCAUGGAAUGAUAAAACAGGACCUCGGUUCUAUUUUGUUGGUUUUAGGAAUAUGAGGUAAUGAUCAAUGUGGACUGGCGGGGGCAUUCGUAUUGCGACGUUAGAGGUGAAAUUCUUGGAUCGUCGCAAGACGCACUAGAGCGAAAGCAUUUGCCAAGUAUGUCUUAAUUGAUCAAGAACGAAAGUUAGAGGUUCGAAGGCGAUCAGAUACCGCCCUAGUUCUAACCAUAAACGAUGCCAGCCAGCGAUCCGCCGAUGUUCCUUUAAUGACUCGGCGGGGAGCUUCCACCCGGGAAACCAAAG